AUGUCCCUCUUCAGCGAUGCCAAGGUUCAGUUGCAUCUUGCUGCUGAAAUUGUCCUCCGGCUGGACAUCGCCCAGGAAAAGCAUCGUCUCACGCCUGCAGAAUUCAAUCUUCGGAAGCAACUGAAGCAGAGGAUUGUUGGCCUCGCCGCGAUCGAAUGCGCGCGCAAGAGGCAGGCGUCAAGGAUCACUUGGCUCAAGGCCGGGGACGCAAAAACUGCAUUCUUCCAAGCAAAGAUAAACUCUCGCAGGAGGAAGAAUUUCAUCCACUCCCUGCAAGCUGGAUCCACCACGACCACCUCCCACGCUGACAAAGCCGACGUCGUCCACAAGCACUUCGUUUCCCUGCUUGGCACUAAGCAAGAUCGCGGCUGCUCCAUCAACUGGGAGGCGAUCGACCUGCCAACAGUGCAAGAUGCAGGC
This 420-nucleotide ribosomal RNA is filed under the name Triticum aestivum (bread wheat). Its description in RNAcentral is "partial small subunit ribosomal RNA". Lineage: Eukaryota; Viridiplantae; Streptophyta; Magnoliopsida; Poales; Poaceae. The record is from RNAcentral.